This 144-nucleotide unclassified non-coding RNA is filed under the name soil metagenome. RNAcentral's name for it is "partial internal transcribed spacer 1". The record is from RNAcentral.
UAAUAAGUGUUUUAUGGCACUUUUAAAUCCAUAUCCACCUCGUGUGCAAUGUCAGUCGAUCUUCUUCAUGGAGAUCGACCAAACAUCAACCUUUAUCUUUUAACUCUUUGUCUGAAAAAUAUUAUGAAUAAACAAUUCAAAAUA